UACGGAGGGAGCUAGCGUUGUUCGGAAUUACUGGGCGUAAAGCGCACGUAGGCGGCUUUGUAAGUUAGAGGUGAAAGCCCGGGGCUCAACCUCGGAACUGCCUUUGAUACUGCAAAUCUCGAGUCCGAUAGAGGUGGGUGGAAUUCCUAGUGUAGAGGUGAAAUUCGUAGAUAUUAGGAAGAACACCGGUGGCGAAGGCGGCCCACUGGAUCGGUACUGACGCUGAGGUGCGAAAGCGUGGGGAGCAAACAGG
This 253-nucleotide ribosomal RNA is filed under the name uncultured bacterium. RNAcentral describes it as "partial 16S ribosomal RNA". It matches the Rfam family "Bacterial small subunit ribosomal RNA", at positions 524 to 776 of the family's 1533-position model. The record is from RNAcentral.